UAUCUCUGUAGAGUCUGCAUAUCAAUAAGCGGAGGAAAAGAAACUAACAAGGAUUCCCUUAGUAACGGCGAGUGAAGCGGGAAGAGCUCAAAUUUGAAAUCUUCAAGGUUCUACCUUGACGAAUUGUAGUUUAAAGAAGUGUUUUCUGUUAGAUGAGUAGCAAAAGUUCCUUGGAAUGGGACAUCAUAGAGGGUCGAGAAUCCCGUAUUUGGUUAUUCAUUCUAGCUUUGUGAUACACUUUCAAAGAGUCGGAUUGUUUGGGAAUGCAGUCCAAAAUGGGUGGUAAAUUUCAUCUAAAGCUAAAUAUUGGCGAGAGACCGAUAGCGAACAAGUACCGUGAGGGAAGGAUGAAAAGAACUUUGAAAAGAGAGUUAAACAGUACGUGUAAUUGUCAAAAGGGAAGCGUUUGACACCAGUGUUGUUUUUCCGAAAAUCAAUUACGAAUGGCUUGAUUUUGUGUUGUAUUGACCUUAUCAGCUUUCUUCACUUUUUUCGAGUCUUUCUUAAUGCACUUUUCGGUUAACAAGUCAACAUCAAUUUCUUUUGUUGUAAAAGAGUAUUCGGAAGUGGCUUUCUUUUCGGAGAAAGUGUUUAUAGCCCUAUACUUCUACAAUCGGAGAGAUUGAGGUCUGCAGCGUAGAUCCUUCGGGGUUAGAUACACUUGUGCUAAGUUGUAGCUUUUCAUAGACAACUUGUUGACUAUGUUUAGUCAUGCGGCUUACUCGCUUGUGCUAUUUUACCUACGCUUAGGAUGUUGACUGAUAUGUAGUCGUA
Molecule: ribosomal RNA, 774 nt
Filed under: uncultured Neocallimastigales
Lineage: Eukaryota; Fungi; Neocallimastigomycota; Neocallimastigomycetes; Neocallimastigales
Description: partial large subunit ribosomal RNA
Rfam family: Eukaryotic large subunit ribosomal RNA
Source: RNAcentral